AACGCGAAGAACCUUACCAGGUCUUGACAUCGAUCUAAAGGCUCCAGAGAUGGAGAGAUAGCUAUAGAGAAGACAGGUGGUGCAUGGUUGUCGUCAGCUCGUGUCGUGAGAUGUUGGGUUAAGUCCCGCAACGAGCGCAACCCCUGUUGCCAGUUGCCAGCAUUAAGUUGGGGACUCUGGCGAGACUGCCGGUGACAAGCCGGAGGAAGGCGGGGAUGACGUCAAAUCAUCAUGCCCCUUAUGACCUGGGCUACACACGUGCUACAAUGGACAGAGCAGAGGGAAGCGAAGCCGCGAGGUGGAGCGAAACCCAGAAAACUGUUCUCAGUUCGGACUGCAGUCUGCAACUCGACUGCACGAAGUUGGAAUCGCUA
RNAcentral lists this ribosomal RNA (374 nucleotides) under bacterium enrichment culture DGGE gel band G2. RNAcentral's name for it is "bacterial SSU rRNA". It matches the Rfam family "Bacterial small subunit ribosomal RNA", at positions 958 to 1337 of the family's 1533-position model. The record is from RNAcentral.